CGAGAACAUCACAGCUCAAGUGCUUCCUUUAAAUACUGUGACAAACAUUUUGAAUACGGUCUUCAACGCUUCAGAGAAGAUUCUAGAGUCAUCAUCAUCUGCAAGCCCAGCUGAACUAGCCUCCUAUGGAAACCGUGCGUUAAAAACUAGUGAGAAACUCAUCUCUACAUUAGUGAAGCCGACAGACACAAGUGACAGUGUCAGUUUUACUCUUGCUGCUGUAGAGGGUCAAGUCUUCAUGGUUGGACCACAGGUCACCUUCUAUAAAAUCCCUCGACUUGACACGACAAAUUCUUCUGUGGACAUUGUAAGAUGUG
Molecule: long non-coding RNA, 317 nt
Filed under: Sinocyclocheilus grahami
Lineage: Eukaryota; Metazoa; Chordata; Actinopteri; Cypriniformes; Cyprinidae
Description: lncRNA (ENSSGRG00000031134.1)
Source: RNAcentral